Molecule: ribosomal RNA, 732 nt
Filed under: Triticum aestivum (bread wheat)
Lineage: Eukaryota; Viridiplantae; Streptophyta; Magnoliopsida; Poales; Poaceae
Description: partial small subunit ribosomal RNA
Source: RNAcentral
AUGGAUAAUAGAUACGCGGCCCUUGAUGACAAAGUCGGGUGGGUUACAAGGAACAGGAGGGUUGCAGUGCCAGACGAGAGAGCAACAAGUGCUGACAGGGUGACAGCCCUGGAAACAGCACUGACAGGAUUUGCUGAAAGGAAAACAGACACCGUAGUGACGCCAUCAGUUGGACUGACGUUCGAUUCUAUAAACGAGGCCUACGAUUUUUACAAUCUUUAUUCCUGGGAGACAGGGUUUGGCAUCAGAUACGCAAAGAGCAGAACCAAUGUAAAAGGCACGAGAUGCAUGCAGGAGUUCGUGUGUUGCUGCUCGGGCAAGCCAAAAGAGGCGAACUCAACACCAUCACGUUGUCAAUGCCAAGCUAUGAUAAGACUUUUGCGGACAGAGGACAAUGGAUGGCAUAUUGACAAAUAUACAAGAGAGCUAGUAUCUCAGCUUAGAGAGAACAAUGUGAACCUGAGCAAAGUUUACAGCAUUCUUGCAACUUUUUUUGGGAGGGUUGAAAAUGUGCCAUUCACCAAAAGGUGCCUGAGGACACUGUGUGGCAAGCUGAGCAGGGAGCAGGCCGACGACGAUGUACGGAAGACGAUGGCAAUUUUUUCAGAGAUGAAAGUACAAGACAGCGAGUUCACCUACAAUGUUCAGGUGGUGAAGAAAGUAGAAUACGCACUCUCAUGUGGACGAAUGGGCGUAGCAAAAAGCAGUACCACCAUUUUGGCGAUGUGGUGA